AUUGAACGCUGGCGGCAGGCCUAACACAUGCAAGUCGAGCGGAUGAAGGGAGCUUGCUCCUGGAUUCAGCGGCGGACAGGUGAGUAAUGCCUAGGAAUCUGCCUGGUAGUGGGGGAUAACGUCCGGAAACGGGCGCUAAUACCGCAUACGUCCUGAGGGAGAAAGUGGGGGAUCUUCGGACCUCACGCUAUCAGAUGAGCCUAGGUCGGAUUAGCUAGUUGGUGGGGUAAAGGCCUACCAAGGCGACGAUCCGUAACUGGUCUGAGAGGAUGAUCAGUCACACUGGAACUGAGACACGGUCCAGACUCCUACGGGAGGCAGCAGUGGGGAAUAUUGGACGAUGGGCGAAAGCCUGAUCCAGCCAUGCCGCGUGUGUGAAGAAGGUCUUCGGAUUUUAAAGCACUUUAAGUUGGGAGGAAGGGCAGUAAGUUAAUACCUUGCUGUUUUGACGUUACCAACAGAAUAAGCACCGGCUAACUUCGUG
RNAcentral lists this ribosomal RNA (484 nucleotides) under uncultured bacterium. RNAcentral describes it as "partial 16S ribosomal RNA". It matches the Rfam family "Bacterial small subunit ribosomal RNA", at positions 30 to 507 of the family's 1533-position model. The record is from RNAcentral.